Non-coding RNA from Pelobates cultripes (western spadefoot toad), 297 nucleotides. NCBI's taxonomy places the organism in Eukaryota, Metazoa, Chordata, Amphibia, Anura, Pelobatidae. The record is from the annotation of a GenBank genome assembly.
GUGGUUUUCAGCUGUAACUUGGCACAUCCUUAUUAACAGAUGCUUCAAGUGAAAUUGUCACCAUCUGAUAAUGACUUUGUAAAGACCCCCCAAUCAGCACUGGAGAUUGGGUGGGAGCAGGCAAAGGUGAGUUUUACUUAUGUAAACCUGUCCCUCAUGGGCGCAGCCAUCCUCUUCUGCUCCUGGUGCUACAGCUGCCAGGAGCAAAUGCCACUCCUGUACUUGUGCACAUACAUGAGUACAGUAUUGAGGUCUAUGGAAGAUCCUCCAGGAUCCUCCAUAGAUAGCUCUUAUUAC